AUCCGGCUGACAAGUCCCAAAUAGGGCGAAACACGCAUCCUGGAU
RNAcentral lists this non-coding RNA (45 nucleotides) under Schistosoma bovis. RNAcentral also lists the same sequence under 1 other name. The record is from RNAcentral. Lineage: Eukaryota; Metazoa; Platyhelminthes; Trematoda; Strigeidida; Schistosomatidae.